Phragmites australis (common reed) is the source of this 2544-nucleotide long non-coding RNA. RefSeq lists it as uncharacterized. Lineage: Eukaryota; Viridiplantae; Streptophyta; Magnoliopsida; Poales; Poaceae. The transcript is spliced from 4 exons. The record is from RefSeq and is a predicted model, not a curated record.
UCCGCGUACAUAAACAAUGGGCUCCUCCUCCUCCGUGGGGUUCACUCCGCCGCCGUCUCUUCAUAGCCUCUCCGAACCGAGUUCAUGCUUGUCGGAUCCGAGCUCCUCUUGCGGAAUCCGGCUCCUCGUCAUAGGAGCGAAGCUCCUACACGUGGGAUCCAUUUCCUCGCUGUUGGGAUCGUGCUCCUCUACGUGGGAUCAGUUUGCCAUCUGCUCAUCGUCGCCAGGUCCGGGCUCCUCUGCACAGGAUCUAGCUCUUCCUCGUGGGAUCGACUCCUCAUUGUCGGGGCCAAGCGCAUCCAUACAGGAUCGAACACCUUGCCAUCGCGAGCGAACUCCUGAACGCAGCAUGCGGGACUGGCUCCUCGUUGUCGGGGCGAACUCAUUUGCGUGGGAUCGAGGCAGGGAUGGCGUAUGUGAGCACGAUAGUGGCAGAUCAGGCUCCACGCCGCUCAUUCUGCCAAAUCAUGCUCCUCCUCGUCGGAUCGGAGCUCCACCCGCGGGAUCGAGCUCCUCCUCGUCAGAUCCAUGCUCAUCAUGCUGGUUCGAGGUCCUCGCCGUCGAGAUUGAGAUCCUCGUGCAGCAACGGCUCCUGGUCGGUGGGGUUGGAAAUUGCUAGGUGAGACGCGUAGCGACGACGUCGUCUCCAUGUGCAUCGCUUGCUUGCUUCCUUUUGGGUACAAGAAAUUGAGCUUCACCUGCAAGGUUGUUGAAGCUAUACAAAUACAUGACCAAAGACCAGCGCACAUUAGUACAAAAUGCUGGAUUGGGAGGGUUGCGAAAUAUAGGAUGCAAAACUUUGUCAUAUGCUCUCAACAAGUGGUUGAUUGAGAAUUUUGAUGAUGAGUCUAGUGAGCAUGUACUCCGUGAAGAGGAGGAUGACACAUGAUGAUGUUCACAAAAUUUUGGGUCAAAACAAGGUAAAAGGUAGUCUAUGAUUUUGAUACUGAAGCUAUUAACUUCAGCUUUCCGGAAGAUACUAACUUUAUUUUUGAGAAUCGAAAGAUACUAACUUACAAGUGGCUUAACCAUCCAGACAAUGUUGUCAAUUAGAAGAGCCAGCUCAAAUUGAAAUAGGUAGUUAUCUCUAGUUUUUCAAUGUUAACUUGUUUUUAUAUUUGAAUUAAGAAGCAACUUUAUAUUUUUGUAUAAGCACCUUCAUGUUAACAAAAGGACACUAUUACAUAAAAAGGUCAUCAUUGCCGGUAAGUACUGUUGCUGAUGCCGUAGCUCCCAACUUUUACUGGAUUAAGAUUUUCUUUUAUUUUAAGUUCAAUAAGUAUUUUUAUACGUUAGCGUAAGCAGUUAUGUACUGAAAAAUAAACAAAAUUUCAGCAUCUAUAAAGCAACUUUUGGGCUUCUUUUUUCCUAGGCAUUACUUUGGUAUUCUAGUAGGCAAGUUUAUGAGUAUGUAGAAGCAAAUUUAUGAGUAUAUAUUCUAACUGACAGUGAAUUUAUGUAUUUCAAACAGGCAACCUGAUUUUCUUAAGAAGCAACAACUCUAAUAUGGAAAAGCAAACUCAUAUACAUGUGAAGCAAACUUCAUGCAUACAUCAUAUAGACAAUUCAUGCAAAUUUGUUCAUAAGCUGCCAGAAUACCAGGCAUAGAAGGAACUUGUACAUUUAUACAAGCAGACAUAACUGCAAUAUGAACAAAUGAAGGUGUCAUAAGUGCAGGAGGAGGUGUUGCAGUCGAUAUAGCUGUAGUAACUGAAGAUGCAUUCUGUAGCAGCAGGAUGCUAAACACCCACAUGAUCGCUGAAAAUGGUACCGUUCAGCAGACACCCAUUGUAACAACAAAAUGGAGAUUGGGGGCAGCUGGUUAAGAUACAUAAUAUUAAUACCUGACUUGUUCCCACAAAAAAAAAACCAAAAAAAGAUUGUGAAUCUCAUAUGUAGCACAUACAUUUUCUGCCUUUUUAUUUUGACUCAAAAUGCUUUUCUAGCUUCAAUAAAUUUUGCAUUAGAAAUUGUUCAUUGGAAGAUGAAACCCAUAGGUCAUGGUUUUGACUAUAGCAGAUUCAACACAGAUUUUUUUUUUUUUUUUUUUGUUCAAAACUUUUGCUUACAUUCAGUCAAAUGUCAUACAAUGCAUUGGGUAAAUUUGUAUAGUACAACUCUACAUGAUUCGUCGUAUCAGGCAACUCAUUUGGUACAAAUUUUGAUUCAUAUUGCAUCCCAUUCUUCAUAUAUGUGCAAGUUUUGCUCGAUACAAUGGACCAGCUGAAUCUCAAAAUUUUGCAUUUGUUCUAGAGAGUACAACUUUACAGUAAAGCAAAUAAAAUGCUAAGUUUGUGUCAUGUGAAAGUAAAGUGAGUUUUUGCAGGAGGUAAAAGCAACUCUGGGGAACUCUAUUAUCAAGUGAAAUACAUAUCCUGUGUAAUCAAAGUGCGCUUCAGCAGUAAUCUAGUGAUUCAUCUUUUGUCUAGAAAGCAUUCUAUCAGUUUAUUCAAUUUGCCAGUUUUUUUCUUGCAAAGGUGCAUAUCCAAUUCUUUUGAAGCGGGUCUGAUUGUUUCACAUAUCCAAUAUAUGGAUUGUUUAAUA